Molecule: ribosomal RNA, 480 nt
Filed under: uncultured bacterium
Lineage: Bacteria
Description: bacterial SSU rRNA
Rfam family: Bacterial small subunit ribosomal RNA
Source: RNAcentral
GACGAACGCUGGCGGCGUGCCUAACACAUGCAAGUCGAACGAAGCAUAGCAAUAUGCUUAGUGGCGGACGGGUGAGUAACGCGUGAACAAUCUGCCCUGUACAAAGGAAUAGCCUCGGGAAACCGGGAUUAAAACCGUAUGACACUUUAGUAUCGCAUGAUAAGAAAGUCAAAUCGAAUAGAGGUAUGGGAUGAGUUCGCGUCUGAUUAGCUGGUUGGCGGGUAACGCCCACCAAGGCGAUGAUCAGUAGCCGGCCUGAGAGGGUGAACGGCCACACUGGAACUGAGACACGGUCCAGACUCCUACGGAGGCAGCAGUGGGGAAUAUUGCACAAUGGAGGGAACUCUGAUGCAGCGACGCCGCGUGAGUGAAGAAGGUCUUCGGAUCGUAAAACUCUGUCCUUGGUGAAGAAAAGGACGGUAGCCAAGGAGGAAGCCCCGGCUAACUACGUGCCAGCAAGCCGCGGUAAGCUGUAGUCGU